AAACCAACAGGGAUUGCCCUAGUAACGGCGAGUGAAGCGGCAACAGCUCAAAUUUGAAAUCUGGCGCAAGCCCGAGUUGUAAUUUGUAGAGGAUGCUUCUGGGUAGCGGCCGGUCUAAGUUCCUUGGAACAGGACGUCAUAGAGGGUGAGAAUCCCGUAUGUGACUGGCUUGCACCCUCCACGUAGCUCCUUCGACGAGUCGAGUUGUUUGGGAAUGCAGCUCUAAAUGGGAGGUAAAUUUCUUCUAAAGCUAAAUACCGGCCAGAGACCGAUAGCGCACAAGUAGAGUGAUCGAAAGAUGAAAAGCACUUUGGAAAGAGAGUUAAAAAGCACGUGAAAUUGUUGAAAGGGAAGCGCCCGCAACCAGACUUUGCGGCAGUGUUCGGCCGGUCUUCUGACCGGUUUACUCGCUGUCGUGAGGCCAUCAUCGUCUGGGACCGCUGGAUAAGACCUUAGGAAUGUGGCUCCCUUCGGGGAGUGUUAUAGCCUCUGGUGAUGCAGCGCGUCUCGGGCGAGGUCCGCGCUUCGGCAAGGAUGAUGGCGUAAUGGUUGUCGGCGGC
Molecule: ribosomal RNA, 560 nt
Filed under: uncultured fungus
Lineage: Eukaryota; Fungi
Description: eukaryotic LSU rRNA
Rfam family: Eukaryotic large subunit ribosomal RNA
Source: RNAcentral